CGCACAUUGCGCCCUUUGGUAAUCCUUAGGGCAUGCCUGUUCGAGCGUCAUCUAACCUCUCAAGCACUGCUUGGUGUUGGGCGUUUGUCCCGCCCCCGGUGUGGACUCGCCUUGAAUCCAUUGGCGGCCUCUGUAUCGGGCUAUCGAGCGCAGCAGACCAGCGCCUCGUGCCCCAUACUUUGUCACCCAGGAAGCACUUCAACCUUUUGACCUCGGAUCAGGUAGGGAUACCCGCUGAACUUAA
This 244-nucleotide unclassified non-coding RNA is filed under the name Quadricrura bicornis. RNAcentral's name for it is "partial contains 5.8S ribosomal RNA, internal transcribed spacer 2, and large subunit ribosomal RNA". The record is from RNAcentral. Lineage: Eukaryota; Fungi; Ascomycota; Dothideomycetes; Pleosporales; Tetraplosphaeriaceae.